CUGGAAUUAAGAAGGGUUAGUUUUUAGUUAGAUUUUAGUUGAAACUUAACAAGAGUCCAGGGAGGCCAGUUGUAAAAGAGGAGGAGAAAAAGCAUUCCAGGCAUAGGAGACAGCCAAAGAGAAAGAUUAUAUUUAUAGAGUGCUUAGCAGAGUACCUGGGCAAGUGGUAGGAGCUAGCUGGCUGGUAGUAGUAGUAGUAAGUAGCUAAGGGUCCAGGGCAGUAGACUAUAGUCAGCACUCAAUGUUUGCUGAAUUAAAUUGAACAGAAUCAUUGCGUGCAAGAAUGGAAUUAUGGGAACUUUAGAGGUGGUCUGCAGGAGUCAGCUGGUCCUUACUCUUUGUUGCUGCUGAGUUUGUCCAACUCUUCAUGACCUCAUUUGGGGUUUUCUUGGCAAAGAUACUGGAGCGGUUUGCCCUUUCCUUCUCAUUGAGACAAACAGGAUUAAGUGACUUGCCCAGGGUCAUACAGGUAAGUGUGUGAGGCUGAAUUUGAACUAAGCUCCUCCUGACUCCAGGCCCAGCACUCUAUUCAUUGCACCACCAAUUUUAUAACUGGAGAAACCGAAGGGUUAAAUGACUUGUCUAAGGUCACACCGCUGUUUUGUGACAUAGCUGAGAGAAUUCCCAGACAAGAUAGUACCGCCAGAAUCCAGCUGCUUAAUUUGGUCUCCACGAAAAGCCGCUUUCACAUCAUGCCUUAUCCAUCCCUACACGUGAUUUGGAACUUGAUCCCAUGGGACGGGGGUAAGGUUGUAGGUGCUCAGUCCAGCCCUUCCCUCACCCAGAGACUAAAGCUACGGGGGUCUUCGAUCUCCAGUCUUCUUUUGCCUUGGCGGGGGGGGGGGGGCCGAGGAGUCCCGUGAAGGUCAGCGCGAGGCAGGGGGGCUGUGCGCCUGGGCUUUCUUCCUUUCCGGCCGGGAAAGGGGCGUCACUGCACCCCUAGAGGCGUGGGUGUGGGAGGGAUGGACCAGAGCUUGGCUCACAGUGGGCUGGGGGAGGGGCCGGGACUGCUGUGACGUCGACACCGGCAUUGAGACCCCCCACAAUGCCGGUAAGGACCAGAACCCCGGGCGGCGCCAGACUCUGCAGGGAAGCUGUCCCAGUCCCUCUGCCCAGGGCCUGGGAGAGGCUGUCAGAUAUCCCCCUGCCCUUGUGAUCAUCUGGUGGCCACUCGGUGGUAGUC
RNAcentral lists this long non-coding RNA (1183 nucleotides) under Phascolarctos cinereus (koala). RNAcentral describes it as "lncRNA (ENSPCIG00000028144.2)". Lineage: Eukaryota; Metazoa; Chordata; Mammalia; Diprotodontia; Phascolarctidae. The record is from RNAcentral.